RNAcentral lists this long non-coding RNA (3682 nucleotides) under Nicotiana tabacum (common tobacco). RNAcentral describes it as "long non-coding RNA (NTAB_LNC010632)". The record is from RNAcentral. Lineage: Eukaryota; Viridiplantae; Streptophyta; Magnoliopsida; Solanales; Solanaceae.
UCGGGUGUCACUAAGUUAUGAGCAAAAUACAAUAACUAUUUGAAAUAAACAAGACUACAGAGUCUGAGAGUAGCCAACAAAUACACUAAGAGGAAGAUAAGGAAGGAGAAGGCGGGACUACGAUCUCCAGGCAGCUACCUCGCUAUCUCCAAGGAAAAAGUCCACCACUGAAAUGAUCAAUAACCGCUACCGUGACCCGAGAUACCUGGAUCUACACACAAGGUGCAGAGGGUAACGUAGUACACCAACUCAGUAAGUAACAAUUCCAAACUAUGGACUGACAGGUAAUAACGAACCAAACCUCAACAGAUAAUAUCAUUAAAUUGUACAGAAAAGUAGACAUGCUUGCACUUCAAGUAAAAAUUCAACAAUAAAUAAAUGAAGCAUAAACGAUACGGAGUAUAAAGCUCAGGAAUCUCUAUGUACCAAUGCGUAGAUAGCAUGAUCAAUGUUUCGUGUACCUCCACUCAUAAGUGCUUAACCACUUGGUACUAUAUAUGGCCAUCCGGCCCAGGGAAGAUCCAUCCCGGAAUAUAUAUAUCACUGAUCGUAGUCAUCCAGUACCAAGGAAAGCUAUUCUAUCCCUGUGGAGAAGAUCCAUCUCCAGGUAUAAAUACUUCGGACAAUAUCCAUGUCCAAGGAAGAUCCAUCCCUCAAUAUCAUCAACUGCGCUCACUAGGGGUGUGUUACAGACUCCGGAGGUGCUCCUACAGCCUAAGAUCUAUCAUAAUCAUCAACAUAACUGCUCCGGCGUGUAGCCCGAUCCCAUAUACAGUCACUCACAACCAGGCUCUUGGCCUCAGUCACUCAUCACUCUCCAGUCUCGCACACACGGGCUCAUAAUGUAAUGAUACUAGCCUGAAUAAUGAUAUGAUGUGCCAUAUAACAAUAAUCAAGACUGAGGCAUGAUAUAUAAUGCAUAAACAGGACUGAGUAUAGAAUAUCAAUGAAGAUAAUGAUAUGACAUCAAGAAACGACAUCUCGGGUCUCAAUUGUAUUGGCAUGAAGCCCUAACACGAUAUCUAGCAUGUUUUCACAGCACAUUUACUUAUUCACAUGAUAGAAAUACGGAUAUAAACAAGAAAGAGUUAAUAAGCAGUGCCAUGGAAUGAUCCAGGGCACAAUUCUCAUGGUGCAUGCCCACACACCCAUCGUUGCCAUUCGCAUCACCUCAAUAGAAAUCAUAGAACACAUAGUUCGGUGUUUCGAACCCUCAGAACCAAGUUUGGAAGCGUUACUUACCUCAAGCCAGGCCAAACUCUAGCCUGCGAUGCCCUUGCCUCUCGAUCGGCUUCCAAAUGCCCCAAAUCUAACCAAAAUAAUUAUAUUAUCAUCAAUAUACGCUAAAGGAAUGAAACCUAUACGAAAAUUAUCAAUUUAACUCAAAAAUCCCGAAAUUGACCAAACUAGACUCUGGGGCCCACGUCACGGAAUCGAAUAAAAUCAUAAAACAGAAAAACCCAUUAUCUCACGAGUACCUAUAUAAAAUUCAUCAAAAUCCGACGUCAAAAGGUCAUCCAAAUCCCAAAAAUCCAUUCUCCAAUUUUUCUGUUAUUUCCCCAAUUUUUACCCCAAAUUCUCAAAUUAAAUGAUAAGAUUCAAGACAUAAUUAUGGAAUUUAGCCCAAAACAAGUGAAGAACAUUUACCCCAAUCACUCCUUUGAAAAUCCUCUCUAAAUUCACCUUCUCCCAAGCUCUCUAAUGAGUUUUUGAAAAUAUGAACUCAACUCUCAUUUUUUGAACUUAAAGAUUCUGCCCAGACACUUCCUUCUUCGCGAACGCGGUCAAAGCCUCGCGUUCCUGAAGAACAAAAAUUACUGCCCAAUUAUUCCUCUUUUGCGAACGUUGUUACACCUCCUUUUUACACCUGAAAGAGAAUAUAAGGGAGUUUUUCCAAUUAAAAUUACAUAAAUCGAAAUGAGAUUAUUUUAUUUAAUUUCAGAAUUGCCACUUGGAAUAAUUUAGGGUGUCCCAAGUCACCGGCGUAUUUUAAAUCCCAAAUCGAGGAAAUUGACUUUACUUAAAAGUUUGCGAAACCAAAAAUCUUAGGUAAGGAAUUCUAUUAACCCGGGAGAAGGUGUUAGGUAUUCCCGGGUUCUGUGGUUCGAGCACGGUCACUUAACUAUUUAAUUGGCCUAAUUAUGUGAUUUAUUACAUAUUUUAAACUUAUUGUACAUUUUUUAACUUUAUAACCGCUUUUAUUUAUUUACGGGAUUUGUUGAACAAGGCGCGAUUGUCGCACACUUGUUUGUUUGUGUAAACAUUGUGAAUCGUGUCACGGGAACCGGACCCACAAUCUACAACAUGCUUAUUUUAUUAUUGUUUGAAGUUAUGGUCGGGUCACAUGAAAUGCACACCCGAAUUGGGAUUUACGUAUCGUGACUAUGCCACGGGAACCGUACCCAUAGCCACGAUGAUUUAAAAUUAAUCGUGCCUAAAGAAAGCUACAAUAAUUAUUAUUAUCUACUUCUAAGUUGGCGAUUUGAGCCUCUCGUAAGUUCUAUCACUAUGGUUAUGAGACGUAUUGGCAAGAAAAAUGUUCAGUUACAUUAUCUGAAACCAAAGCAAUCAAGAUAAAGGCAUUUUGUUUUGAUAGGCUCAGGUAAAUUGGUCUCUUUUCCUCGGCCAAGGUACAUGUGUUACGCUCUAAAGUGAUUUUAAUCUGCUUCUAUUAGAUGAAGCAAACUUAUCAUCACUGACUACAACUUUCAUGGACAACGAGAAAGAAAUGUUAAGAAUGAACUUCUACUUUGGAAUGAUGCAUUCUACUAACUUUAUUAUCUAUGUUCUUAUAAGAGUUCCUUAUUUUAGCAAAAUUUACAACAACAAAAAAAUACAAAGUAAAAAUAAAAAUAAAAGAGCUUCAAGUUUUAGAGUAAAUACUGAACUAAAAUCUGAAUUAAUUAGUACACAAAUGACUACUUUCAAUGCCUAUGAAGUUUUAAUUGAGCUAGGCACUAACAAAUUCCUAAAUUCCAUACCAACAGUGAUGGUAUUUCACCUCCGAGCCAUAGAUCUGCUAGAACACCUCCAUAUAUAUAAGAAAUCCAUCAUAAGUUAACAAACAAUCCAAACCUUAACAAAUACGUACUUCUCGUUCAAACCAUAGAAUUGCCUUUUCAUGAUUGUUUCUUAUUAUUACUCAAAUUUUCAUUAUGGUUUUAGAUAUUCAUCACAUCGAACACUUCAAAACCAAACCCAAGCAUGCAGUCAGAAAUGAAAGAGCACCCAGUACACAUGUCAAUGAACAGCAAUUGAGAUUUCAUAUCAAUGGGGCAUCCAAAUAGCAAUUACAUUAUUUGAGACCAAAAGCACAUACCUUAACAGCAGUAGUGCAACUUAUAAUAGCCAAGUAAGGAAUAUAUUCAGCAAAUUAGGGUUCAGCUACCCACAUAAUAGCAAAAUCAACCGGCAAAUGAGACUCUCACAGCUCAAUUAAACUUCAAAGUUUCCAGAAAAUAUCCAGUAGAGGAACCGUGAGAGAAUUAAUGAGCAUUGUCUGUGUGAGUGUGUAUUUAUGAUCUCUUUGUGGAGAGUGAGGCGUGUAUCUAUAUUAGGAAAAAGGGGGUUUGUUCUUGGUGGUGAUGAAAAUGGAGAAGCCCUGAAAUUCCCAGAUGCGUCGUUGCUCUUUUUCUAAGGGUGAGGUCUUCUAAUUAUUGUUCCCUAGGUUUUCUAAUGUCUC